CGUGAGCGGCGGACGGGUGAGUAACGCGUGGGUAACCUGCCUCAUACAGGGGGAGAACAGUUGGAAACGGCUGCUAAUACCGCAUAAGCGCACAGUACCGCAUGGUACGGUGUGAAAAACUCCGGUGGUAUGAGAUGGACCCGCGUCUGAUUAGGUAGUUGGUGGGGUAACGGCCUACCAAGCCGACGAUCAGUAGCCGACCUGAGAGGGUGACCGGCCACAUUGGGACUGAGACACGGCCCAA
Molecule: ribosomal RNA, 244 nt
Filed under: uncultured bacterium
Lineage: Bacteria
Description: partial 16S ribosomal RNA
Rfam family: Bacterial small subunit ribosomal RNA
Source: RNAcentral